Molecule: long non-coding RNA, 583 nt
Organism: Stegodyphus dumicola
Lineage: Eukaryota; Metazoa; Arthropoda; Arachnida; Araneae; Eresidae
Source: RefSeq, a predicted model, not a curated record
AACCUUAAAUAUUCUGCAACAAGGUCAUUAAAGAGAUAUAAAAGAGGUUGCAUAUGCUUUGCAGUUAUGUCACUCCAAGCUGUGGUUUGUGUUCAUCGCCUCUGACUGCUGCGGACUUCAUAGAGAGUCAGAUUUAACCUGACAAUGAAGGCUUUGGUGGUUAUCUUUUCUCUCCUCUGCCUAUUAUCUGUCGUCUUGGCCCAGCCACUCCUUUGGUAUACGGCACCAUCUUAUGGAUAUGCCUAUCAGUAUACUUACCCAGCCUAUUCUCCAUACACAUCAGCAUACGUACUACCAGCAUGGUACUUCAAACGAUAAGGAUAGGAUUUAGUCUAAAGAAUGACGAAUAAUUCUGGACUAUCGAGUUCUUCAAGUCUGCUACCUGAUGUGAUUUUUAACUCCUUUUUCAGCAACGCUCCCAUGUGAUGUAACCUCAUUGCUCUGUCCUCUGCAAAGUUUGUAGCUACUCUGCAUCUCAGCAAAGCUCCAGUUCCUUGAUUGCUUUCCAUCUGUUUAAAUGUUCAGUACAUUGUAAAGAAAACUCAAAGCUUGUGGGAUAAAAUAAAAGUUUAUGUGACAUGAA